CCUACGUGUGGCAGCAGUGAGGAAUAUUGGUCAAUGGGCGUAAGCCUGAACCAGCCAAGCCGCGUGAGGGAUGAAGGUUCUAUGGAUCGUAAACCUCUUUUAUAAGGGAAUAAAGUCUGGGACGUGUCCUGUUUUGAAUGUACCUUAUGAAUAAGCAUCGGCUAACUCCGUGCCAGCAGCCGCGGUAAUACGGAGGAUCCGAGCGUUAUCCGGAUUUAUUGGGUUUAAAGGGUGCUUAGGCGGCCUUUUAAGUCAGCGGUGAAAGUCUGUGGCUCAACCAUAGAAUUGCCGUUGAAACUGGCAGGCUGGAGUAUGUGUGAGGCAGGCGGAAGGCGUGGUGUAGCGGUGAAAUGCUUAGAUAUCACGCAGAACCCCGAGUGCGAAGGCAGCCUGCCAAGCCAUGACUGACGCUGAUGCACGAAAGCGUGGGGAUCAAACAGGAUUAGAUACCCGGGUAGUC
This 460-nucleotide ribosomal RNA is filed under the name uncultured bacterium. RNAcentral's name for it is "partial 16S ribosomal RNA". It matches the Rfam family "Bacterial small subunit ribosomal RNA", at positions 338 to 795 of the family's 1533-position model. The record is from RNAcentral.